UUUUAGCCCCGAUCGUAGUGGAAAUCCUUUGUUGCCGGGGUUCGGCAGCAAAGAUUGUAAUGGAGAGCGGGAACCCUC
Small RNA from Flavobacterium succinicans, 78 nucleotides. It matches the Rfam family "Flavo-1 RNA". Lineage: Bacteria; Pseudomonadati; Bacteroidota; Flavobacteriia; Flavobacteriales; Flavobacteriaceae. The record is from Rfam.